Molecule: ribosomal RNA, 460 nt
Filed under: uncultured bacterium
Lineage: Bacteria
Description: partial 16S ribosomal RNA
Rfam family: Bacterial small subunit ribosomal RNA
Source: RNAcentral
CCUACGGGCGGCAGCAGUGAGGAAUAUUGGUCAAUGGGCGCGAGCCUGAACCAGCCAAGUAGCGUGAAGGAUGACUGCCCUACGGGUUGUAAACUUCUUUUAUAAAGGAAUAAAGUGAGGCACGUGUGCCUUUUUGUAUGUACUUUAUGAAUAAGGAUCGGCUAACUCCGUGCCAGCAGCCGCGGUAAUACGGAGGACCCGAGCGUUAUCCGGAUUUAUUGGGUUUAAAGGGAGCGUAGAUGGGUUGUUAAGUCAGUUGUGAAAGUUUGCGGCUCAACCGUAAAAUUGCAAUUGAUACUGGCAGCCUUGAGUACAGUUGAGGUAGGCGGAAUGCGUGGUGUAGCGGUGAAAUGCUUAGAUAUCACGAAGAACUCCGAUUGCGAAGGCAGCUUACUAAACUGCCACUGACAUUGAUGCUCGAAAGCGCGGGUAUCGAACAGGAUUAGAUACCCCAGUAGUC